AGAGUUUGAUCCUGGCUCAGGAUGAACGCUGGCGGCGUGCCUAAUACAUGCAAGUCGAGCGAAGGAUGUAGCAAUACGUUCUUAGCGGCGAACGGGUGAGUAACGCGUUGGUGACCUGCCUCGAAGCGUGGGAUAACAGUUCGAAAGGAUUGCUAAUACCGCAUGUGGUUGUGGAGAUUAGAAGCUCUGCAACUAAAGGAGAAAUUCACUUCGAGAGGGGCCUGCGUCCCAUCAGCUAGUUGGUAAGGUAAAGGCUUACCAAGGCGAUGACGGGUAGGGGACCUGAGAGGGUGGCCCCCCACAAUGGAACUGAAACACGGUCCAUACACCUACGGGUGGCAGCAGUAGGGAAUAUUGCAUAAUGGGCGAAAGCCUGAUGCAGCAACGCCGCGUGUGCGAUGAAGGCCUUCGGGUCGUAAAGCACUUUUAGAGAGGAUGAGGAAGGACAGUACUCUCUGAAUAAGCCUCGGCUAACUACGUGCCAGCAGCCGCGGUAAAACGUAGGAGGCGAGCGUUAUCCGGAUUUACUGGGCGUAAAGCGCGUGCAGGCGGUAAGGAAAGUUGGAUGUGAAAGCUCCUGGCUUAACUGGGAGAGGUCGUUCAAAACUACCUAACUAGAGUGUGGGAGAGGGAGGCGGAAUUCCGGGUGUAGUGGUGAAAUGCGUAGAUAUCCGGAGGAACACCAGUGGCGAAAGCGGCCUCCUGGCCCAAGACUGACGCUCAGACGCGAAAGCUAGGGUAGCAAACGGGAUUAGAGACCCCGGUAGUCCUAGCUGUAAACGAUGUGAACUUGGCGUCGGCGGGUUUAAAUCCGUCGGUGUCGAAGCAAACGCGAUAAGUUCACCGCCUGGGGACUACGGCCGCAAGGUUAAAACUCAAAGGAAUUG
This 887-nucleotide ribosomal RNA is filed under the name uncultured bacterium. Its description in RNAcentral is "bacterial SSU rRNA". It matches the Rfam family "Bacterial small subunit ribosomal RNA", at positions 8 to 912 of the family's 1533-position model. The record is from RNAcentral.